UGGAUUUUUGAAUGGCACGUCAGGCAGAUUUUCUAAGUACACACUCCUGGGCCUGGUUCAUGUUCCUGAGCGCAGAGUGGGUCAGAAGGAGCAGUCGAUAGCUCCAUGGCGUCUGUCUGCCUACAGUUGGACAUGCAUCCCCCGCUUGCAAGUGCCUUCUUCAGGCGCAUCCCCGCUCCUACUACCUUUUCUUUUCUGAGGGAACUGCAUGCAUGUUGGAGGGACACCAGAGCUCUGUCCUGUCAUAUGUCGGAUGAACCAGUCCUAGUGGCUAUGCAGGAUGUGGCAAAAUGCGGCCUUGCCCAUAUGCCAUCCAACUAUUGCAUCCCUCAUAGUUUUCAGCGGACUAUUGAUGCUAGCCAGAGCAGGCAACAAUUCUGACCUUUACAGGCCCGCACUCCCUUACUUACUUAGGGUUCCAGCUUUCGCUCGCAUAGGCCAUUCUCAGCCUGCAGCUCGCCCAAGUAGCUGCUACAGGCCGGGGCAUCCCGGUGGUCGGUCUUCUCUCCCAGCAGCACAUCAGCUACUAGACAACAUUACCAAGGAGUUAGCCGCACUUCUGGCCAAGGCUGCUAUCGAGAUGGUGGACCCCCUGUCACAAUGCGGGGGCUUCUACUAAAACUAACUUUCUUGUAAACAAGAAGGUGUUACCAUUUCACAUGUUGAGCACAGCAGAUUGCCAAAGGAGAGUGUCUCGCGUCUGUCGACCUGAAGGAUUCCUAUUUCCACAUUCCCAUUUGGCCUCGCCACCAGCAGUUUCUUUGUUUCGCCUUUCAAGGGCCUCACUAGGGUCGGUGCCAUUCGGACUCUCCUUCUCUCCACGAGUGUUUACAAGGUAUGUGGCCGAUGAAAUUCUGAUUCUGACUUGGGCUGCCUGUCGCCUGAUCAGCCUUCAGGCGAUGUACCUCCCCGGGUCAGGAACCAGGUAGCAGAUUUCCUGUCCCGUCAAAGUCCUCCCUCUGGGGGAGUGGCAGUUUCAUCAGGACAUCGUACUAAAGAUAUGGGAUCUCUUCGGCAGGGGAGAAGUAGAUUUAUAUGCUUCACUACACCUACUGGUUCUCCCUGAUGGAGUGUAGCAGUCCUCUGGGUCAGGAUGCUCUUGCUCACAUGUGGCCAGAAGAGCUUCUUUACUCCUUUCCACCAUUUUUCUCUGAUACUGCCAAUGCUCCUCAGAGUUCUCCAACAGGGCCACAGACUCUUGCUGGUGGCCCCUCUGUGGCCAGACAGGACUUUUCACUACUACGCAGGCUUUGCAGCAGUCACCCUGGCGCCGCCCCGACAGAAGGGACCUCCUUUCACAACUAGUAGGUCGGAUCUGGCAUCCCGAUCCCAGCCGCCUUCAACUGUGGGCCUGGCCACUGGAGGGCCCGACCACCCUCUGACUGACUGCACAGAACCGCCAGAAGGAAACAGUAAUCCUAAAGCUUGACAUCUGUUCCACAACUGAUAAAUUCCAUUACAAAAUCAUGCAGAUUCACCAAAACAUCUUACAGCUCAGAAUCCAGGGGGGUCUCCAAAGGGACAAAGUGGGCAGACCCAAAUCCGGCCUCAGCGACGGUGAGGACCACCUCAUCAAGAAGAAGGGAGUGACUGUUCAGAUAAUCCCUGCUGAUCAGUAAAAUCUCCUCCGGAUGAAAUAUUAAGUGGAGAUUGGAGACGGCUAAUAUAUUCUACCAUCAGUUAUCCAAUAUGUAUGAAACCUCAAGCCCAACUGCCACAAAGAACACUGCUUAUGAUAAAGUGAAUGUAGCCCAGACUUUAUCUAACGGGGUCAAGUAUAUCUGUGCAGAAAAGACAUCAUACUAUCUGGAGAUUUAUGCCUAAACAUAAAUGAUUUCUACUACUUUUGUUUCAAACAAGUAGAUUGAUUUAUAUGACUCUCUUUUUGUAUUAAAACUAUUCCCUCAUAUUACAAUUUUGUUGGUGCUCAAAAACUAUUAAACAAUGUUUAAUCCUUGCAUUAGUCUAUGAAGCAGAGCCUGAUGUCGGAGCUGGAAAAUGCUACACUGUGAUUAGCCAGUCUGUGUUCCAAGACGGGACAGGACUCCCUCAUUAUGCAUUAAUUUACAGAAUUAAAUUAAUGUUAACAUUUCUAGGGUUUUAGCAUAUAUAGAUACAUGUUUAAUGUUAUUUAUUUAUCACAAGUUCCAUAGUUAACAAAGAGUCAAUUUUGACGGUAUGUUUUAUUCAAUUUUGAGAGGAGGCUAAAGUUGUGGAGACCUUUUCUGCUCUGUGGGACCAAAGUGGAGGUGUCUGAACGGAUGGAGGAAUGCUGCGAGGGAAGCAGCACUGCGGCUUUCCACUUUACAGGCUCAGACGACUCUGGCUCUAUUCACAGCUCCAACACUUAUCUUCCAUGAGCAGGUGUGUGUGUGCAAGAAAGCAUGGAUUGAGCACUGACUUGUUUUUCUCAGAAUUUAGAUGGGUGCAUUUGCAACUGUGGAUUUGUGCGUGCGUGUGUCCGCGUGCGUGUAUGAUGAAUGUAUGGGUAAGUCAUGUGUGCAUUUUCAUCACCGUUGCACGUUUAUGUACGGGUAUGUACAUUCUACAUAAUGGUUAUUUGGAUGUGGUGGGUGUGUUAUAUAGCUUUAAUUGUGUGUAUGCAGAUAUGAAUUGUAUGCAGAAUAGAUUGGGCUGAAUUGCUGGGAGGCUGACUGUGUUCUUAUCCCAGUGGAAGAGGAGGAAAAUGAGGCAAAAACAACAGCAACAUUUGGAAUGAGACAAUUUUUCCAAAAAAAACACCUUCCGAAACGUUUAGUUUUUUUCCCCGGAAAGAAACUCAAUUGUAAUAGCACUUACAAUUUUCCUCAGUGGACAAUGCGGCACUGUGUUGGCAAAGUGAAGACAAUAUGAAUAAAAAACAUCUGGGGGCUCCUUCACAGCCGAGCGAUGUGGAAUUCAGGAGAUUCUCUGCAACAACUGACAUCACAUAGAGAGAUUGUCUGCGGUUCUUACUCCCACUGCUCAUAGAAACUCCAAAAAGGUUGUCAUGUAUUAUUCUCAUUAUUACAACCCCACCAAUGUGUUGUUUUCUGUUUGAAGUAAACCUGAUUGUAGCCGUGGAUAACAGAGAAAGACCCAGUGGAGGUGAACAAAUGGCUAAACAUCGCCUAUACUUAUUUGAUAUCAACGCUCCCAAGCUGCUCAUUACUAAACAAUUUUGUUUUGGUUACUUGAAAUUCCUCCCACAAUGCUUGGGAAUUUGUGCCUAUAGACAGUACUUUACUUUGUAUCUGCAAGGGAUCUUCUCCUCUCUUGAGAUUUAUUCACGGCAGAACUAUGUCUUUUCCACCAUUUCGUAACUUUGUGUUUUUUUCUGCAAAUCAAUUCGGUUUCAAAGCUAAUUUUGGCCUCAUUACUGAGAGAAAAUACUGAGUGAGUGUGAUGAUGUGGCAUCAAACACAUGACUUUUACCAAGGAGAUUGCACACUAUGAAAUACAACCUACUGAAUCUACUCAAUAAAUGUGAGGUAAGAAUUUGCAGAAACAGUAGCGGCUGGUGGAUUUGUUUUUUGGUAGGUCCAGCUUCAGUUUCAGUAAAAAUCCCAGUACACGCAUUAUUACUUUGCAGUUAAAUAUUUAACAUUAUACGGACAUCUUAUUCAAACAAUAUAUAUUAUAUAAUAUACAAACAGUAUAUCAAUGAAAUAUGGUAGUUAUAUAUCCAUCCAUCUGCAAACUGCUUAUCCUGCACACAGGGGAGCUGGAGUCUAUCCCAGCGCACACCCUGGACUGGUCGCCAGCCAAUCGCAGGGCUACACUGAGACAUACAAUCAUUCACACACCGGGGAGAACCGGUGUGUGAAUAGAUGUGUAUAUAUAUAUACGUAUAUAUAAAUAUAUAUAUACACACACACACAUACGUAUAUACGUAUAUAUAUAUACAUAUAUAGUAUAUGUAUAUACGUAUAUAUACGUGUCCGGCCGUUUCAGUUUGCACCGAGAAUCUCUCCAUCACCCGACUGUCCCUGCCUUGGUCUCUGAGGUUCUUCAGGUGUGGCCCUUGAAAUCAGGGACAGGAGAUGUCGUGUAGCCUCUGUGGCUUCACGUGCAUCAUACUAUAAAGGGAUUUUAAAUGUAUGGACAUGGUAAAAUGACACUGUGUACUGCACAAGCUGUAUUGGAAGAAAUUAAGCUAUUAUCUGAGGUGGUGUUGGUGAUCGUAUCAAUGUAAUGUUUGAGUGUAAUCAUUUAAUCAAAAAGAACAAGAAAAUGAUUAAUAACUUUUGCCUCACCUUCCCUACAAGAUACCACUAACUAAGCUAACAUAUCAAUGUAGUUAGUAGCGAGUACGCCUUGGAGACACAACAUGAGCCCACAUGAAAGUGGUUUUCAUGUCAACACAGCAGCCCUCAAUGUCGUUCUUUAAUAAAACACUCCGCGACACUGAUGCUACGUUCACACCGAACGCAAUGCAAAUGUGUUGCGUCGCCUCAAACGUGCCGCGGGACUCUCGGAGUACAUUUGGUGGUCAAUUUGCGUGUAUCGCAUAUUUGUGCCGACGCGACGGAGAGGGGGCGUGGCCUAUCACCCUGAAACAGAUCAACUUUCCACGAUAGCUUUUCCCUCGCAUCAACCUUUACUUGUACUUGUCAUAGCAACUCUUUACUUUUUGUGAAAGAUCUACUCGCGUCGCACCGCCAAACGGUUUUGUGUUUUUGUACUAAACAGCAUCCGUAGGAGCAGACGGCUCGGUGAAUUUCUACAGGAACUGCGUCUGGAUGACUGCCGCUUCCAGCAGUACAUGGCGCCAGCAGUUAGCUCGUUGGCUCUGAUCGGUCACCGGACUUCAAAUCCUUCACAUCAUACUUCCAUGCCGACGGAACUGUCCGAUGGAGAGACAUUGUAUGCUCAAGCACAACCAAAGGGCUCUAUUAAGAGCAGUGGCGUUUUAUUGCAGAGGCCAAGGGAAGUCAGGCUUCCUCACUUCUUUCAGAAUAUAACUGAUUUAAUCAUCAUUAAUGAUUAGUCAUUGUCGAAAUGAGUGAGGAGUCCGUACUUUGAAUCCAAGCCGUUGGUUUAUUGGACAAACUUAUAACUCGCAUAGAGUCGUGUUUCUACCUGCUACACCAUGCUACUCGGCGGGGAGAUGCGCAUACCCCGACUUCACCACACACGCACACCUUUCGAGGACGGUGUCCCGCAGCGUACACACAGAACACGAACAUAAACAUUCAACAGAAUGAUCUACAUCCCUUUUCUUUAGUUCGUGCCUUUCAUGGAGAACAAUGGAAGGCCGGGCAUUAACUCACAAGAUAAUAACAUGGCUAUAGUUGUUUUAACCUUACAACAUUGUUAUAUAGCAUAGAAAUUAGCAGCAGUUUCAAACAACCAUCUUUAAGUAAACUUGAACAGUAAGUAACCAACUUGUACAUUCAUACUGCAAGGCAGUCCAACAUACAUUGCACUUCAACUAGACAUACAAAGUCCCAUAGAGUCCAGUGCGGAUUCAGCUCCCCUUAAUUUCGUUUUCUUUCUCUUUUUUUUACACAGCUUAUAGUAGCUCAAUGUUUAUUGUUCAUACUUUGGGUUCGGCCUGCAAAUGCGACCUGAGCGCGUCAUAUACAGUGAGUUACCCAGCGUGGCCUCGGUAGGAGAGUGAGCUGCAGGCCUCCGCUGCUCGCUAGUUGGUCGCUGAGGUUUUGCGUGAAUUAGUUGAGGUGUUUGCGGCGUGGAGGGGGGACCGUCCGGUGCAGCUGAAGCGGCACAUUGACGAUCAAAGUCCGCAGCACCUUCCCCCGCUGAUUCCCCCGCUGAUGGCUCAGCGACAGGAAGGAUAUGACGGCGAUUUCUCCUGUAGGUCCCUCCAUCGGACUCGAUGAUGUAGGAGCGCGGCUUCUUGCACCUUUCCUUCACAGUGCCCAGACGGUCAUGUCCCUUGUCGGUCUGAAUCCUGACAACCCGUCCCUCCGCGAGCGGCUGUAGCAGGCGGCUGGACGAAUCAUAGUAUCGCUUUUGGGAGAGUCUUUUACUCCGGAGAUGGGCAGUGACCUGCUUUGUGAUUUUUGGGGCUGGCUCUAACAGUCUGGUGCUGACAGGAAGAGCUGAGCGCGUCUGUCGUGACAUCAGACGUUCUGCAGGUGAGCCCAAGGCUUGGUCACGGGGAAUAUUUCUGAUGUUCAGCCGAUUGAGGAAGACGUCGGUCCCAUCUCUGUGAAAUUUCUGUGAGAUUUCGUACAGUCUUUUGACUGUACUCCUGGUUCUGCGCUUGGUUGACUCCAAACCUGGGUGACCUCGGUGUAUGAUGUUAAUGUAUUCUCGUUGAAGAGAACUUGGAAUCACAGUUCUGUGGCCCUUGAUAACUAUCCCCUCCUCCACUACCAACUGGUCUCUGUGAGGGAAGAAUGGACGAAUGGAAGGGUGGACGCUGCGUUCUUUGCCAGGCCAUCCGCGGUGGAUGACUGUGCUAAGAGUCUGUAGCACUUGGUCCCGUGCCGUGUGGGUCCGCAGCUCCUGUUGGUCUGUUGGUUGAGAUGUAGCUAACAGACAUCACCUCAAAUGUGUGGUCUGCAGCUGGACUUUGUGAGAUGGUUUUGUUCAGAGCUCGUGAUAGGGUAUCAGCUAGGUACAUGUGCUUACCCUUCUUAUAGACCAGUGUGAUGUCAUACGCCUGUAACUGUAGUAACAUCCUUUGCACUCGGGCAGGAGCAGUGUGGAUGGGCUGCUUCAGGAUUGCGACAAGGGGUUGGUGGUCAGUUUCAACCACUGUGGGCUUCCCAUACACAUAAUCCUUGAAUUUGAUGCACGCAAACACCACUGCCAACAGCUCCUUUUCAAUUUGAGCGUAUCGUGUUUCUGUGUCUGUGAGCGUGCGAGACGCGUAGGCAACUGGUCUCCCAUCCUGUAGACAUGCAGCACCGAGUCCGUAACAUGAUGCAUCACAGGUCAGUGUGACUGGUUUUCUUACGUUGUAGUGGGACAGAAUUGGUGAACUGGAUAAGCAUGAUUUGAGACGGUCAAACGCCUGCUGAUGCUGUGGAGACCAACACCACACAGCGUCUUUGUGUGUGAGCUGUCUCAGGAAUGGAAUCUGUAGCAUCCGAACGGCGUACUGAAUGUGGUCAGCAUUGAUGACUGGUCGAGCUGUAUUUUCCAGAAUGAGCUCUUCGCAUCUAGAACAGAGAACACUGUAGCACCUGACAUCUCGGUAGCAACUUCCUCGACGCUGUGAAUUGGAUAGUGAGGUCUCUUUAGUGUGUUGAGGUCCCUUGGAUUGAUGCACAGCCGGAUUUCCUGUUUGUCCUUUUUGUGUGCUGCAACCAUGGACGAAAUCCAGUCUGUAGGUUCAGCUACUGUGGUUAUGACACCUUUGUUCUGCAUGCUGUUGAGCUCCGCUUUGACCCGCGCUUGCAUUGCCACCGGGAUGCGGUGUGCUGGACGAACUACCGGUUGCACUGCUGGAUCCAGUGUCAUGGAGUAUGUGAUGGGGAGUUUUCCAAGCUCGUCACUGAACACGUCUUUGUAUUGUAAGUGGAUCUGUUCAGUGAAUUCAGCAUUGCUCUCUGUGCUGACCUGAUGAACGUGUGGGCUCAUUGUGACAAUUCCAAAAUGCACACAUGCACGAAAUCCCAAUAGUGGCACUACGUCUCUGUCCACUAUCAAAAAGAGCAGUGUGUGUUGCUGUCCAUCUAGACAACAAGGCAGUCUAGCCAUGCCUACGGUCUCUAUUUUGCUGUCUCUAUAGGCCACUAGAUGUCUUUACUGUGUUCCACUGGUCGCUUGCCAUUAGCCAGCUGUCGGAAAGUGUCUGUUGACAUUACAUUGCACUUUGCACCAGUAUCAACCUUCAUCUCGACUGGGCGGUCGUGUACAUGGAGCGUAACAAAUCCUUCAUCUUGUCCUUCUUUUUGAGGAUUGAUGGUGUCCACUUUGACACCAUCCACAUAGAAAGUGUCACUAGCACUGUCAUCAGGCUCUUGUAGCUCUAGUUGGUGCACCAAUCUUUCGCUGUCCCUUCUCUUUACGUAGCCCUUCUUUUCAUAGCCUUGUCCGUAUGACAUGGACUUGCAGCAUUUUUUGAAGUGGUUGAAUUUCCUGCAGAUAUGGCACUGCUGCCCGAAAGCAGGACAUUUGUCUCUCUGUGCGGCGUGGUUGCCUCCACAGUUAUUGCAGUUUGUAAUGGAUUUUGCAUCACGUUGGCCUGCUUGAGGUUUAAGUCUCGACCUGUUGUGCCAACCAUUGGAGUUUGGGUGGAUUGCGUCAACAGUGGUGGCUGUUUGGGGCUAGGGCCUUAUUACUCUCCUUAGUCAUUUCAUAUAUGCGGCAGAUUGUAAUAGCUUUGUUCAGGGUUAAUUCACUGUUCACAGCAAAGCCUUUCUCAUACAGUCAUUUCUGAUUCCACACACUAUUCUGUCACAAAUCAGUUCAUCUGUCAGGUCUCCAAAGAGACAAAUUUUAGCUUUGAUCCUCACGUGCUUCUGAUUUCGUGAGUGGAACUUGUGUCUCUCCAUAGUUUUGUUUUGUUGAGGGUUGCAUACUUCCCGAAAUUUCCGUUUCAAGCACUCUUGAUUUUCUCUGGAUUCAGCUGGAACGAUGACGGCUCCAUCUUCACCAGGCGCUCUCACUUCUGCUGCGUAAACGAAUGAACGCUCCCGUUAGAUGGCCUCCGCUCCUGCGAGAUUGAGGAGGAUAUAUGCCUUCGUCCUAUUAGUCUUGUCCGAGUGCGCCGCUGCUAUGAAGAUAUCAUAUUCCUGUUCAAAAGUCUGCCAAUUCUCGCCGAUGUUCCCGUCACAAACGAGGGGGUCUGGUCUGAGAAAUCCAUCCGCCAUCCUUUAGCUGAGACGUUAGCUUAAUUGCCCGCUCCGCUGGAGA
Long non-coding RNA from Gasterosteus aculeatus aculeatus (three-spined stickleback), 8811 nucleotides. Lineage: Eukaryota; Metazoa; Chordata; Actinopteri; Perciformes; Gasterosteidae. The record is from Ensembl.